CUGAGUGUAGCACAGUGGUAGAUUGCUUGCCUAGCAUACAUGAGAUCCUGGGCUCAAUUCCCAGCACCCAUU
RNAcentral lists this transfer RNA (72 nucleotides) under Marmota monax (woodchuck). Its description in RNAcentral is "tRNA.Ala". Lineage: Eukaryota; Metazoa; Chordata; Mammalia; Rodentia; Sciuridae. The record is from RNAcentral.